RNAcentral lists this transfer RNA (76 nucleotides) under Frankia nepalensis. Its description in RNAcentral is "tRNA-Ala". It matches the Rfam family "tRNA". From Rfam's summary of the family: Transfer RNA (tRNA) molecules are approximately 80 nucleotides in length. Their secondary structure includes four short double-helical elements and three loops (D, anti-codon, and T loops). Further hydrogen bonds mediate the characteristic L-shaped molecular structure. tRNAs have two regions of fundamental functional importance: the anti-codon, which is responsible for specific mRNA codon recognition, and the 3' end, to which the tRNAs corresponding amino acid is attached (by aminoacyl-tRNA synthetases). tRNAs cope with the degeneracy of the genetic code in two manners: having more than one tRNA (with a specific anti-codon) for a particular amino acid; and 'wobble' base-pairing, i.e. permitting non-standard base-pairing at the 3rd anti-codon position. Lineage: Bacteria; Bacillati; Actinomycetota; Actinomycetes; Frankiales; Frankiaceae. The record is from RNAcentral.
GGGGCUGUAGCUCAGUGGGUAGAGCACCGGUCUGGCAGACCGGCGGUCGGGAGUUCGAAUCUCCCCAGUUCCACCA